Long non-coding RNA from Ficedula albicollis (Collared flycatcher), 996 nucleotides. RefSeq lists it as uncharacterized. The record is from RefSeq and is a predicted model, not a curated record. NCBI's taxonomy places the organism in Eukaryota, Metazoa, Chordata, Aves, Passeriformes, Muscicapidae. The transcript has 3 exons.
CUGCGAGCCCGGCUCCGCCACCGUGAGCCCGGCUCUGCCGCCGUCAGCCCGGCUCUGCCGCUGCGAGCCCGGCUUGGCGCUCUGAGCCCGGCUCUGCGGCCGCACCGAGGGAGGAGCGGGAGUCCCUCGCACACGGACCCAGAGCCAGCCGAAACCACAUGGGGACGCCGCUUCUCUUGGCCUCCUCCGCGUCCUGUCGCGUUUUCCUCGCCGUCGCUCGAGCAGCAGCAGGGCUGGCGGCCCGGAGCGGCCCCGGUGCCUCGGAGCUGUAGGUGCUGUGUGUGCGGUGCCAGCCCGCCGAGCCUCCCCGAGCUCGGGGUUUGCCUUACCGCGCUGUCAGCUCCGUGGCCGUGGCUUGGCACAGCUGCACCUCUCGGGGGAGCUGGCAGCAUCGCUUCUACCUCCAGCGUGGGACCAUGUGGCUGCUGCAGCCCGAGAUCGGAGCCGAUGCGGUGUCGUUGUGGACUUGAGCAGCUGAGGAUGCUGAAACCCGAAGAUGAUUUAGCAAAAUGCCAUCGAGUCAGGGAGAGAACACUAAAAAUUUAACUGGUAUUACCUCCUUUUGUGCUGACCCCUACACUAUGGACGUACUGUUUUUGCUGUCACCUCAGACCAGUGGUGAAUAUGAAGACUGUGGCAUUUCUCUCUAAAAAGCAGCUUUAAAAUAACCAGCCAGAAGGCAGGCUAGCAAGCAGUGGUGAUCGCCUGCAUUCUGGAAUUUUAACAUCAGCACCAUUGUAAUCUGUAGACAGCCGUGGCUAAAAAUGAAAGUGAAACUUCUCUGUACAUGAUAAACCAAAAAACUAGGAAUUGGCUCUCCAAAUUAUAAAUGGCUGAGAUUUCAGGAGGUAGUACUGUUGCUCCAUCUGAAACACAAGUUGGCCUAAAUACAACCCUCUGUAGGAAUAGGAUUCUGGUUUCCUCCCUCCUUCAAAGCGUGGGAAUUCAUCUGGAGUAGGAAGCAAACCCUUCCGAGCUCCUGAGCAGUAAGAGAAG